This 431-nucleotide ribosomal RNA is filed under the name uncultured bacterium. Its description in RNAcentral is "partial 16S ribosomal RNA". It matches the Rfam family "Bacterial small subunit ribosomal RNA", at positions 29 to 507 of the family's 1533-position model. The record is from RNAcentral.
AACGAACGCUGGCGGCAGGCUUAACACAUGCAAGUCGAGCGCCCCGCAAGGGGAGCAGCAGACGGGUGAGUAACGCGUGGGAACGUACCUUUUGGUUCGGAACAACUCCGGGAAACUGGAGCUAAUACCGGAUAAGCCCUAACGGGGAAAGAUUUAUCGCCGAAAGAUCGGCCCGCGUCUGAUUAGCUAGUUGGUGAGGUAACGGCUCACCAAGGCGACGAUCAGUAGCUGGUCUGAGAGGAUGAUCAGCCACACUGGGACUGAGACACGGCCCAGACUCCUACGGGAGGCAGCAGUGGGGAAUAUUGGACAAUGGGCGCAAGCCUGAUCCAGCCAUGCCGCGUGAGUGAUGAAGGCCUUAGGGUUGUAAAGCUCUUUUGUCCGGGAAGAUAAUGACUGUACCGGAAGAAUAAGCCCCGGCUAACUUCGUG